UAUGUGCCGCCGCCGCGGUAUACAUAGGGUGCAGCGUUGUCCUGAAUUAUUGGGCGUAAACAGCUCGUAUGUGGUUCGUCGCGUCGGAUGUGAAAAUCUGGGGCUUAACCCCAGACCUGCAUUCGAUACGGGCAAGCUAGAGUGUGGUAGGGGAGACUGGUAUUCCUGGUGUAGCGGUGGAAUGCGCAGAUAGCAGAAGGAACACGAAUGGC
RNAcentral lists this ribosomal RNA (212 nucleotides) under uncultured bacterium. RNAcentral describes it as "partial 16S ribosomal RNA". It matches the Rfam family "Bacterial small subunit ribosomal RNA", at positions 502 to 716 of the family's 1533-position model. The record is from RNAcentral.